CCUACGGGGGGCUGCAGUGGGGAAUAUUGCACAAUGGGCGCAAGCCUGAUGCAGCCAUGCCGCGUGUGUGAAGAAGGCCUUCGGGUUGUAAAGCACUUUCAGCGGGGAGGAAGGCGUUAAGGUUAAUAACCUUGUCGAUUGACGUUACCCGCAGAAGAAGCACCGGCUAACUCCGUGCCAGCAGCCGCGGUAAUACGGAGGGUGCAAGCGUUAAUCGGAAUUACUGGGCGUAAAGCGCACGCAGGCGGUCUGUCAAGUCGGAUGUGAAAUCCCCGGGCUCAACCUGGGAACUGCAUUCGAAACUGGCAGGCGAGAGUCUUGUAGAGGGGGGUAGAAUUCCAGGUGUAGCGGUGAAAUGCGUAGAGAUCUGGAGGAAUACCGGUGGCGAAGGCGGCCCCCUGGACAAAGACUGACGCUCAGGUGCGAAAGCGUGGGGAGCAAACAGGAUUAGAUACCCGGGUAGUC
This 465-nucleotide ribosomal RNA is filed under the name uncultured Klebsiella sp. Its description in RNAcentral is "bacterial SSU rRNA". It matches the Rfam family "Bacterial small subunit ribosomal RNA", at positions 338 to 795 of the family's 1533-position model. Lineage: Bacteria; Pseudomonadati; Pseudomonadota; Gammaproteobacteria; Enterobacterales; Enterobacteriaceae. The record is from RNAcentral.